UGGGGAAUUUUGGACAAUGGGCGCAAGCCUGAUCCAGCCAUUCCGCGUGAGUGAAGAAGGCCUUCGGGUCGUAAAGCUCUUUCGCAAGGGAAGAAAACUUAUCCUCUAACAUAGGAUGAGGUUGACGGUACCUUGAUAAGAAGGACCGGCUAACUACGUGCCAGCAGCCGCGGUAAUACGUAGGGUCCGAGCGUUAAUCGGAAUUACUGGGCGUAAAGCGUGCGCAGGCGGUUUUGUAAGCCAGUCGUGAAAUCCCCGGGCUUAACCUGGGAAUGGCGAUUGGGACUGCAAGGCUCGAGUGCGGCAGAGGGGGGUGGAAUUCCACGUGUAGCAGUGAAAUGCGUAGAUAUGUGGAGGAACACCGAUGGCGAAGGCAGCCCCCUGGGCCGAUACUGACGCUCAGGCACGAAAGCGUGGGGAGCAAACAGG
Molecule: ribosomal RNA, 429 nt
Filed under: uncultured bacterium
Lineage: Bacteria
Description: bacterial SSU rRNA
Rfam family: Bacterial small subunit ribosomal RNA
Source: RNAcentral